UACAACAAAGAAGAAAAGAGA
Molecule: small RNA, 21 nt
Filed under: Arabidopsis thaliana (thale cress)
Lineage: Eukaryota; Viridiplantae; Streptophyta; Magnoliopsida; Brassicales; Brassicaceae
Description: ATSL123780
Source: RNAcentral